ACCAGGGAUGAUAAUGACAGUACCUGGAGAAUAAGCUCCGGCUAACUCCGUGCCAGCAGCCGCGGUAAUUCCAGCUCCAAUAGCGUAUAUUAUUAUUGUUGCGGUUAAAAAGCUCGUAGUUGGAUCUCGGUUUCGGGCGAGCGGUGUACCUUGCGGUAUUUACUGUUUGCCCGGACGAUUUUGUUGGUUCGUUUAUGGUUCUCUUAACCGAGUGCCAUAAGUGGCCAGCACGUUUACUUUGAAAAAAUUGGAGUGCUCAAAGCAGGCGCUACAGCCUGAACAUUAGUGCAUGGAAUAAUGGAAUAGGAUCUCGGUUCUAUUUCGUUGGCUUUCGGAGUCGAGGUAAUGAUUAAUAGGGACAGACGGGGGCAUUCGUACUGCGACGUUAGAGGUGAAAUUCUUGGAUCGUCGCAAGACGAACUACUGCGAAAGCAUUUGCCAAGAAUGUUUUCAUUAAUCAAGAACGAAAGUUAGAGGUUCGAAGGCGAUCAGAUACCGCCCUAGUUCUAACCAUAAACGAUGUCGACCGGCGAUCCGUUAUCGUUAACUGAAUGACUUAACGGGCAGCCUCCGGGAAACCAGAGUGUUUGGAUUCCGGGGGAAGUAUGGUUGCAAAGCUGAAACUUAAAAGAAUUGACGGAAGGGCACCACCAGGAGUGGAGCCUGCGGCUUAAUUUGACCCAACACGGGAAAUCUCACCAGGCCCGGACACCGGAAGGAUUGACAGAUUGAGAGCUCUUUCUUGAUUCGGUGGGUGGUGGUGCAUGGCCGUUCUUAGUUGGUGGAGCGAUUUGUCUGGUUAAUUCCGAUAACGAACGAGACUCUGGCCUACUAACUAGACGUUAGAUCCCUUUGUGGGUCUAUCGCAGCUUCUUAGAGGGACGGGCGGCGUUUAGCCGCACGAGAUUGAGCAAUAACAGGUCUGUGAUGCCCUUAGAUGUUCUGGGCUGCACGCGCGCUACACUGAAGGAAUCAGCGUGUGUUCCCUACCCGAAAGGGUUGGGAAACCCGUUGAACCUCCUUCGUGAUGGGGAUUGGGGAUUGCAAUUAUUCCCCAUGAACGAGGAAUUCCCAGUAGGCGCGAGUCAUAAGCUUGCGUCGAUUACGUCCCUGCCCUUUGUACACACCGCCCGUCGCUACUACCGAUCGAGUGAUUUAGUGAGGCCUUCGGACUGGUCUUCAGUAUGGCUUUCGGGUCGUGUUGGAGUACCGGAAAGAUGACCAAACUUGAUCACUUAGAGGAAGUAAAAGUC
This 1253-nucleotide ribosomal RNA is filed under the name metagenome. Its description in RNAcentral is "SSU rRNA". It matches the Rfam family "Eukaryotic small subunit ribosomal RNA", at positions 524 to 1790 of the family's 1831-position model. The record is from RNAcentral.